AUAGUUAAGGUUACAUUACACUAAAUCAUUGUGUAUCCCUCCGUGGUCCAUUCGAAAGUAGUGCCUAUUUCUAAAGAGUUCCUUUUCUCUUCUUGAAUAUAAGCCAUUUAACAAUGUGAGACAUGUCUUUUGUGGUUAUUUGUAAUAUCCUGUAUGUGUCUGGAGUACUUUGAUGCCUUGGAUUGGAAGCUAACUUAAAAGAUGAACUUUUGAGGGUGUGUUUUCUAUUGUGUGGGGCUUUUGUCGAAAUUAGGAUUCCGAAACACGUUUUUCUACGGUGGGUUCAUUCGACAGCGAUUUACUUUCUUAGAAGUUGCGAGACGGUAUGUUUUUGAUUGCAAUUAUUGGAAGAUGACAGAUCCAUCUUUAAAAUGAUACCAGGUUCGGAAAAAUUGAUACGUCGGAAAGGCAAGAAAAAUGCUGUGAAAGUUGUCAGUUUUAUAAUGGGACCCUAUGGGAAUCGGAAUUAGUGUAAUAUAACCUUUAAAAAGCACAUUUACUGCAAUGUCAAGGUCACAUGGAUUCGUCUGCAAGCGAGACAAGUAGAAAAUGAAUUUUAAUGAAUGUUUUGAUGAUUUGGGUGCUAAAAUAGAUGAGAGGUGUCAAUAUUUUGGUCCAAAUGGAUGUUUUAGGUGGUUUUGGACUGUUCCGGAUGGGUGGGGGACCUGGUAUGGACAAGUAAGGGUAACAUUUCCAACAAAUCUUAAAUGUAAAUAUUAUUAUGUCCAUAGAUUGAAGUUUCAGGUGGAGAGCAAGAUGAAAAAUAUGCAAAAUUACAUGCAUGCAACCCAUUUAUGCCAUUUUUCUCUUUGUUUGUAGGCCUGACCGUUUGUCCUUGAGCCGUAGAUGGUCAACAAUCCGCUAGCUGUCUUGCUCUGACUGGUGCACUGGACAUGAUUUCAAUAGUCAGCCAGACCAUGAUUGAGCUUAAGGGUUGUGCUGCGGAUGCAGCCUGUGCAGUUCCGGGAGAAAGUCACUGUCUCGGGCAAUGCGGUCUGGUAUCAGGUCUGGAUGAUCCUUGCCUGACUGCGGGUUUGUGUACACCUCAAUCCGACUCUGUGUCCUGAACAGAGGCCGCAGUGGUGCAGCGCUUGUGGACGAUCCAUCAACAUCCUGAAAGGUCAACACUACACCAAGCUGGGAAAAUUGAUCCUGAUAGUCAUCCCCAGGUAGUGGAAUGAAUGUUCACUGAACUACAGAGGAAUCACACCCAAAUGACUUUCCUGCCACGACAUUAGUGUGGCCACUCGCGUAGGAAUUCCUUAGCAAACAUGCUCUUUUGCAUGGUGACUGUGGACAUUUUUGCAAAACUUACGCUUUCAACACUGGAUUUCAAAGAGAAUACUUAAUAAAAUGUCGCUAACAGGACUUAUUUAUAUGAGAGAGACUAUCUGGAUGCGCAUUAAGUGUCACUUUGUGUCGUAAGCUGUUGAAGGAGCGAUUUGCGCCUUUUUAAGUGUUAAUUUUGGGUAGCCGGCUUGUAUCGGCUUGAAAGCUGAAAAUUAUGCCUCUCAUCAUAAUAGCAUUAAUUUUUGUAAUUGCAAUGUGUAUGUUUAGAUUGUAAGUGAAGCUUUUAAUAAUAAUUUUCUUAAAAAACAUGAUUUUAUAUGCUGUCAGUGAGUUUUUUAUUGAGAAAAGUGCUUAAAAUUUAAAAAAAGUCUCCUAUUUCAUCAAGAAAAGUACACUGAUUCACAAUCAAUACAUUUAUUUGGGCCUUUUGCUGAUAUAUUGGAGAAUUUCGCAUGCAAUGAUACCAGUUUUUGCCAUGAAAGUUACGCGUAACAAUAAUUGGAGACGCAAAAUCAGCUGUCGUCACUUAGACUAAAAAUCAUGCAUUCCGACUUGACUGCGGCCAAUUUAGUCACCGCUUUAAAUGGCCAUUUUAAGGCCUUUACCCCCAUCCGAAUGCACUGAAAUUGCAUAUUCAUUGUGGAAAUAGUUGAAAUCUCAUGUGGAGAAAGUUUGAAAAAGAUAGGACAAAGUUGAGUUCCCUUAAAGGUUACAUUACACUAAAUCAUUGUGUAUCCCUCCGUGGUCCAUUCGAAAGUAGUGCCUAUUUCUAAACAGUUCCUUUUCUCUUCUUGAAUAUAAGCCAUUUAACAAUGUGAGACAUGUCUUUUGUGGUUAUUUGUAAUAUCCUGUAUGUGUCUGGAGUACUUUGAUGCCUUGGAUUGGAAGCUAACUUAAAAGAUGAACUUUUGAGGGUGUGUUUUCUAUUGUGUGGGGCUUUUGUCGAAAUUAGGAUUCCGAAACACGUUUUUCUACGGUGGGUUCAUUCGACAGCGAUUUACUUUCUUAGAAGUUGCGAGACGGUAUGUUUUUGAUUGCAAUUAUUGGAAGAUGACAGAUCCAUCUUUAAAAUGAUACCAGGUUCGGAAAAAUUGAUACGUCGGAAAGGCAAGAAAAAUGCUGUGAAAGUUGUCAGUUUUAUAAUGGGACCCUAUGGGAAUCGGAAUUAGUGUAAUAUAACCUUAAGGGGCACGAAUGUGCGAGAACAUAGCAUACUUGACAUUUGUAUCACUCCCGGAAACAGGUGAUAUUGUGAAAAUGUAAACAUUAUGAACAUUCAUAACACAUCGACAGAAAAUACCUGCAUAGCCUACGGAGGAAGCCAGCUGAAUCCACCAGAAAUCACCAUUGUUUAUCCUUUAUUUAGCAAAUAUUGCUAUUUGUUAGUCUGUCACUGUCUUUUGUCAAACACUAAACUCAGCGUUCGUUUGAUUGUCAAUUUCAUGUCGCGUAGGUUAUACUGCACACUUAAACUUUAAAUAGUUGCAGAAGUUAAUUUUGUGAAUGUAAUUAUAUUCAUUCCCUAUAUGAUCUAUAACUUUAAAUGUUUACUUUUUAAUCAGUAAAAUAUAUUGUUAGUCAGCGUCUUUGAAGGUGACCGCCAUGUAAAGUUCAGGCGCGAACUAUUUUUCGUCUGUAAGCUAGGUCUCGGCGUCUGAUCAGUAUUAACAUUAUUGUUUUUAUAAUUUAACAGUAAUCCUUUUAGAGUAUUUGGAUGUUUCGCCGAGAUACAGCCUAGUCAUUUGUUGCAUUAUAUAAAUGUUAAUAUUUAUAUGAACAGAUGUUAUUUCUCAUGGGGCGGAGUUUCUACCGUCUCACCUAUUCAUACGCCUUACCAUUUGUUAAGUUCGGCGAUUGUUUGUUUCACAUAUCUAUGUUCAGCUGAUUAUUUGUAAAUACUGCUUUUCGUUAAAGCUGUUCAUUUGACCAAAGAGCUGUAUAUGAUGUAUUGAAUUUAGAUUGUUAUAUUAUUUAAGGAAUGGACCUGA
Molecule: long non-coding RNA, 3278 nt
Organism: Dreissena polymorpha
Lineage: Eukaryota; Metazoa; Mollusca; Bivalvia; Myida; Dreissenidae
Exons: 3
Source: RefSeq, a predicted model, not a curated record